GGAGAGAUACCCAAGCUGGCUGAAGGGGCGGGUUUGCUAAACCUGUAGCAGGGGUCUUCCCCUGGCGAGGGUUCGAAUCCCUCUCUCUCCGCCA
Molecule: transfer RNA, 94 nt
Filed under: Anoxybacter fermentans
Lineage: Bacteria; Bacillati; Bacillota; Clostridia; Halanaerobiales
Description: tRNA-Ser
Rfam family: tRNA
About the family: Transfer RNA (tRNA) molecules are approximately 80 nucleotides in length. Their secondary structure includes four short double-helical elements and three loops (D, anti-codon, and T loops).
Source: RNAcentral